AGGGCAUACGAUGGAUGCCUAGGUGCCGGGAGGCGAUGAAGGACGCAGCAAGCUGCGAUAAUCCUCGGGGAGCCGCAAGCAGGCUUUGAUCCGAGGGUGUCCGAAUGGGGAAACCCGGCCGUCGUAAUGGGCGGUCAUUCACGGAUGAAUUCAUAGUCCGUGAAAGUGAACGGGGCGAAGUGAAACAUCUCAGUAACCCCAGGAAAAGAAAACGACAAUGAUUCCGUAAGUAGUGGCGAGCGAAAGCGGAAAAGCCUAAACCGGAGAGAUUUAUUUCUCCGGGGUUGCGGGACCUGCAGCAAAGGAGAGGGAGUAGGAAGAGUUCAACGUCUUGGAAGGGACGGCCGAAGAGCGUGAGAGCCGCGUGAGCGAAGUCCGAGACCCAUCCGAGCAGGCACCCAAGUAGCACGGAAUGAGUGAAACUCUGUGUGAAUCUGUCCGGACCACCGGAUAAGGCUAAAUACUACCCGGCAACCGAUAGUGAACCAGGACCGUGAGGGAAAGGUGAAAAGAACCCCUGCUAGGGGAGUGAAACAGAUCCUGAAAUCGUAUGCCUACAAGGUGUUGGAGUUCCGUCACAGGACGGGAUGACAGCGUGCCUUUUGCAUAAUGAGUCUGCGAGUUGUCUUCGGCGGCAAGCCUAAGUCCUUAUGGGACGGAGGCGAAGCGAAAGCGAGUAUUAAAUGUGCGAACAUGGAGUCGCCGGGGGCAGACCCGAAGCGGAGGUGAUCUACACUUGAGCAGGUUGAAGCUCCGGUAACACGGAGUGGAGGACCGAACCGGUGAAUGUUGAAAAAUUCUCGGAUGACUUGAGUGUAGGAGUGAAAGGCUAAUCAAACCCCGUGAUAGCUGGUUCUCUCCGAAAUAGCUUGAGGGCUAGCGUCGGACAAGUACUCCAGGGAGGUAGAGCACUGAAUGGCUUAGGGUCCCUACCAGGAUGCCAAAACCAAUCAAACUCCGAAUGCCCUGGAUCCCAUUACUCCGGCAGUCAGCUGACAGGGGAUAAACUCUGUUGACAAGAGGGAAACAACCCAGACCGCCGGCUAAGGUGCCUAAAUAUCAUUAAGUGGAAAGGAUGUGGCGUUGCUUGGACAGUGAGGAUGUUGGCUUAGAGGCAGCCACCAUUUAAACAGUGCGUAACAGCUGACUCAUCGAGCGAUGCUGCGCCGAAAAUGAUUGGCGAUAAAUGAUAUACCGAAGCCGCGGGUGCAUGGACAAUACGUUGUCCAUGCGCGGUAGGAGAGCGCGGCCGUCUGCGAUGAAGCCCAACCGUAAGGGAAGGUGGAGCGGCGGCCGGUGAGAAUGCAGACAUAAGUAGCGAGAAACAGGAUGAGAAUUCCUGUCGCCGUAAACCUAAGGUUUCCUGGGCAAGGUUCGUCCCCCCAGGGUUAGUCGGGAGCUAAGGCGAGGCCGGAGGGCGUAGUCGAUGCACAGCAGGCAAAUAUUCCUGCACUGGCUGGGGCGCAGGCGUCGAGGGACGCCGGCUGGAAGGUGGCAAGGUCAUCGAAAGACCGAUGCUUAGACUUCUUGUUGAAGCGUACCACUGGAAGGACGGCCGAGAAAAGCUCGGCGUCGUUUCCCCAGGCACCCGUACCGUAAACCGACACAGGUAGGUGGGAUGAGUAUUCCAAGGCGCGCGGGAGAAACCACUCUAAGGAACUCGGCAAAAUAGCCCCGUAACUUCGGGAGAAGGGGUACCCGUUUCGACGGGUCACAGUAAAGUGGGUCUGGCGACUGUUUAGCAAAAACACAGCACUCUGCCAAGUCGUUAAGACAAAGUAUAGGGUGUGACACGUGACCAAUGCGGAAAGAUCAAGGUGACUUGUCAUCCUCCCUUCGGGGGGGGUGAAUGUCGGCCGUAACUAUAACGGUCCUAAGGUAGCGAAAUUCCUUGUCGGGUAAGUUCCGACCUGCACGAAUCGUGUAACGACCGGACCGCUGUCUCAGAGUGGAUCCCGGCGAAAUUGUAAUGGCGGUGAAGAUGCCGCCUACCCGCAGUAGGACGGAAAGACCCUAUGCACCUUUACUGUAAGCUGGUAUUGUGUUCUGAUUAAUGAUGCGUAGCGUAGGUGGGAGACGUUGAAACGGUGAUUCAGGUUGCCGUGGAGUCGCCAAAUGAAACACCACUCUUUGUUGGUUAGGAUUCUAACUUCGUUCCGUUAUCCGGGCGAAGAACAGUGCCAGCGGGUCAGUUUGACUGGGGCGGUUUCCUCCCAAAAGGUAACGGAGGAGCGCUAAGGUACUCUCAGCAUGGUUGGUAACCAUGCGUCGAGCGUAUGGGUAGAAGAGUGCUUAACUGCGAGACUGACAGGUCGAGCAGAUGCGAAAGCAGGCCCAAGUGAUCCGGUGGUUGAAAGUGGAAUUGCCAUCGCUCAACGGACAAAAGGUACGCUAGGGAUAACAGGCUUAUCGCGCGUUUGGCACCUCGAUGUCGGCUCAUCACAUCCUGGGGCUGGAGAAGGUCCCAAGGGUUCGGCUGUUCGCCGAUUAAAGUGGUACGCGAGCUGGGUUCAGAACGUCGUGAGACAGUUCGGUCCUUAUCCACUGUGGGCGCAGGAAACUUGAGGGGUUCAUUCCUUAGUACGAGAGGACCGGGAAUGACGCACCUCUGGUGUGGCAGUUGUUUCGUCAGAAGCAGCGCUGCGUAGCUACGUGCGGAAGAGAUAAGCGCUGAAAGCAUCUAAGUGCCAAGCUCCUCCCAAGAUCAGGUUUCCCGGACGCAAGUCCCUGAAGGCCCCCGGUAGACUACCGGGUUGAUAGGUCAGGCGUGUAAGCGUUGUAAGACGUUCAGCGGACUGAUACUAAUAGGCCGUGCGGCUUGAUC
RNAcentral lists this ribosomal RNA (2824 nucleotides) under hydrothermal vent metagenome. RNAcentral's name for it is "bacterial LSU rRNA". It matches the Rfam family "Bacterial large subunit ribosomal RNA". The record is from RNAcentral.